GAGCUCGCGGCCUAUCAGCUAGUUGGUAGGGUAACGGCUUACCAAGGCGACGAUGUCUAGGGGCUCUGAGAGGAGAAUCCCCCACACUGGUACUGAGACACGGACCAGACUCCUACGGGAGGCAGCAGUAAGGAAUAUUGGUCAAUGGGCGGAAGCCUGAACCAGCCAUGCCGCGUGCAGGAUGACUGCCCUAUGGGUUGUAAACUGCUUUUGUCCAGGAAUAAACCUAAAUACGUGUAUUUAGCUGAAUGUACUGGAAGAAUAAGGAUCGGCUAACUCCGUGCCAGCAGCCGCGGUAAUACGGAGGAUCCGAGCGUUAUCCGGAUUUAUUGGGUUUAAAGGGUGCGUAGGCGGCCUAUUAAGUCAGGGGUGAAAUACGGUGGCUCAACCAUCGCAGUGCCUUUGAUACUGAUGGGCUUGAAUCCAUUUGAAGUGGGCGGAAUAAGACAAGUAGCGGUGAAAUGCAUAGAUAUGUCUUAGAACUCCCAUUGCGAAGGCAGCUCACUAAGCUGGUAUUGACGCUGAUGCACGAAAGCGUGGGGAUCGAACAGGAUUAGAUACCCCGGGAGUCCCCGCCCCCAAACGAAGAUAACUCGAUGUUGGGCGAUAGACAACCCCCCGCCCCACCAAAAACGUUUAAAUUAUCCCCCUGGGGGAGUACCCCCCCCCGGGGGGGAAAA
Molecule: ribosomal RNA, 680 nt
Filed under: uncultured bacterium
Lineage: Bacteria
Description: partial 16S ribosomal RNA
Rfam family: Bacterial small subunit ribosomal RNA
Source: RNAcentral